AUGUUGAGAGGAAAGGAAUCCUACAGAGAACUUGCUGGUGACGGGGAGAUGGAGGAGGUCUCAGGAAGAACCCUCGGAGAGCUUGACCCUCUGGACUGCCCUGAGUGCUGCAGGCUGACACCUGGCCGGGAGAUAAUCCCUAGGAGGUGACACU
Molecule: long non-coding RNA, 154 nt
Filed under: Bos grunniens (domestic yak)
Lineage: Eukaryota; Metazoa; Chordata; Mammalia; Artiodactyla; Bovidae
Description: lncRNA (ENSBGRG00000024589.1)
Source: RNAcentral